Molecule: transfer RNA, 77 nt
Filed under: Acinetobacter baumannii
Lineage: Bacteria; Pseudomonadati; Pseudomonadota; Gammaproteobacteria; Moraxellales; Moraxellaceae
Description: tRNA-Glu
Rfam family: tRNA
About the family: Transfer RNA (tRNA) molecules are approximately 80 nucleotides in length. Their secondary structure includes four short double-helical elements and three loops (D, anti-codon, and T loops). Further hydrogen bonds mediate the characteristic L-shaped molecular structure. tRNAs have two regions of fundamental functional importance: the anti-codon, which is responsible for specific mRNA codon recognition, and the 3' end, to which the tRNAs corresponding amino acid is attached (by aminoacyl-tRNA synthetases). tRNAs cope with the degeneracy of the genetic code in two manners: having more than one tRNA (with a specific anti-codon) for a particular amino acid; and 'wobble' base-pairing, i.e. permitting non-standard base-pairing at the 3rd anti-codon position.
Source: RNAcentral
GUCCCUAUCGUCUAGAGGCCUAGGACAUCGCCCUUUCACGGCGGUAACCGGGGGUUCGAAUCCCCGUAGGGACGCCA